Arachis ipaensis is the source of this 319-nucleotide non-coding RNA. The record is from RefSeq and is a predicted model, not a curated record. NCBI's taxonomy places the organism in Eukaryota, Viridiplantae, Streptophyta, Magnoliopsida, Fabales, Fabaceae.
UUUCGGAUGUGCUCUAAUUGUGUGGUGCGCUUUUGUUUAAAUAAUUUCAAUUCUUUUACUCUGCAGGAGAUACACAAAAUUUUAUGGGACUUCUGAGAGAGCUGCAAAGGACUUGGCCCAUGAUGCAUUAACUCAAUACAAACGAUGGGAAGAAGACAUUGAGAAAUGGCAAAAUCCUAUUCUUCAGGAUGAGUCACUACCAGAAUGGUAAUUCUCUGUUUAAGCAUGAAGACAUUUUAAUUUUUAAGCAUCAACUUGUGUAUUUGUUUGUUAUGGAUAAUUGCCAGGUUUAUAUUAGCUUAGAGCCUCUGCAGUAUGU